UAACGGCGAGUGAAGCGGCAACAGCUCAAAUUUGAAAUCUGGCCGCAAGGCCCGAGUUGUAAUUUGCAGAGGAUGCUUUGGGCGCGGCGCCUUCCGAGUUCCCUGGAACGGGACGCCACAGAGGGUGAGAGCCCCGUCUGGUUGGAUGCCUAGCCUAUGUAAAGCUCCUUCGACGAGUCGAGUAGUUUGGGAAUGCUGCUCAAAAUGGGAGGUAUAUGUCUUCUAAAGCUAAAUACUGGCCAGAGACCGAUAGCGCACAAGUAGAGUGAUCGAAAGAUGAAAAGCACUUUGAAAAGAGGGUUAAAUAGUACGUGAAAUUGUUCAGAGGGAAGCGCUUCUGACCAGACUUGGGCUCGGUGAAUCAUCCAGCGUUCUCGCUGGUGCACUUUGCCGGUCCAGGCCAACAUCAGUUCGUCGCGGGGGAUAAAGGCUUCGGGAAAGUGGCCCCCUCGGGGGUGUUAUAGACCGUUGUGCAAUACCCUGCGAUGGACUGAGGUUCGCGCUCCGCAAGGAUGUUGGCGUAAUGGUCAUCAGCGACCCGUCUUGAAACACGGACCAAGGAGUCGUCUUCGUAUGCGAGUGUUCGGGUGUCAAACCCCUACGCGUAAUGAAAGUGAACGGAGGUGAGAGCUACGGCGCAUCAUCGACCGAUCCUGAUGUUUUCGGAUGGAUUUGAGUAAGAGCAUACGGGGCCGGACCCGAAAGAAGGUGAACUAUGCCUGUAUAGGGUGAAGCCAGAGGAAACUCUGGUGGAGGCUCGCAGCGGUUCUGACGUGCAAAUCGAUCGUCAAAUAUGGGCAUGGGGGCGAAAGACUAAUCGAACCUUCUAGUAGCUGGUUUCCGCCGAAGUUUCCCUCAGGAUAGCAGUGUUGAUCUCAGUUUUAUGAGGUAAAGCGAAUGAUUAGGGACCCGGGGGCGCUUUUUAGCCUUCAUCCAUUCUCAAACUUUAAAUAUGUAAGAAGCCCUUGUUACUUAGUUGAACGUGGGCAUUCGAAUGUAGCAACACUAGUGGGCCAUUUUUGGUAAGCAGAACUGGCGAUGCGGGAUGAACCGAACGCGAGGUUAAGGUGCCAGAGUAGACGCUCAUCAGACACCACAAAAGGCGUUAGUACAUCUUGACAGCAGGACGGUGGCCAUGGAAGUCGGAAUCCGCUAAGGACUGUGUAACAACUCACCUGCCGAAUGUACUAGCCCUGAAAAUGGAUGGCGCUCAAGCGUCUCACCCAUACCUCGCCCUCAGGGUAGAAACGAUGCCCUGAGGAGUAGGCGGACGUGGAGGUCAGUGA
RNAcentral lists this ribosomal RNA (1286 nucleotides) under Sedecimiella taiwanensis. RNAcentral's name for it is "LSU rRNA". It matches the Rfam family "Eukaryotic large subunit ribosomal RNA", at positions 84 to 1403 of the family's 3401-position model. Lineage: Eukaryota; Fungi; Ascomycota; Sordariomycetes; Hypocreales. The record is from RNAcentral.